UGUUUAGUAGCUGACACUAACAUCCCUGC
This 29-nucleotide non-coding RNA is filed under the name Mus musculus (house mouse). The record is from RNAcentral. Lineage: Eukaryota; Metazoa; Chordata; Mammalia; Rodentia; Muridae.